AGGUGCGAUCAUACCAGCGUUAACGCUUCGGAUUCCAUCAGAACUCCGCAGUUAAGUGUGCUUGGGCUAGAGUAGUACUGGGAUGGGUGACCUCUCAGGAAGUCCUAGUGUUGCACCCU
Molecule: non-coding RNA, 119 nt
Organism: Picea glauca (white spruce)
Lineage: Eukaryota; Viridiplantae; Streptophyta; Pinopsida; Pinales; Pinaceae
Source: Rfam